Molecule: long non-coding RNA, 20215 nt
Filed under: Homo sapiens (human)
Lineage: Eukaryota; Metazoa; Chordata; Mammalia; Primates; Hominidae
Description: PREDICTED lncRNA (TCONS_00229682)
Source: RNAcentral
UCCACUGGAGUCUAAGCUUGAUUCUCUGACACUGUUCUCUCAUUCUUCUAAAUCACAAUAUCCAACCUUUUGGCUUCCCUGGGCCCACUGGAAGAAGUGUCUUGGGCCAGACAUAAAAUACAUUGACACUAAUGACAGCUGAUAAGCUUAAAAAAAAAAAAGUCCAUGCAUAACUUUUGUUCUAUCACCACCACAGAAGGUCCAUGCAUAAUUUUUAUCAGCCACCACAGAUAAGCAAAGAGAGUCCUCAUAUUGAAAGGGUUAGAUACCACUGCUCUAAAGGCUAACAAAUGGAAUGAAUGAGGCAAAGGCAACCUCCUCUUUUCAGGAAAAUCUGAAAUUAUUCUUCCUUUUAUCCAUCAGACUAGCCUAAAGGAAAUCUGCUCUCUUCUUGGAAUGACAUUUCACGCAACAUUCCAUUUCUCUUGUGUUCAUCUGGACACUCAGAACUGCUGAAAACUGAUAAAUUAUGGCAACCAUAUUAAAUAUUGCUGAGCUCAGGCCAACGACUUCUUGAAAAGAGAGCAACGAGUCUAUUUGUAGUGACUGGAAUCUUUCAAUAUAGCUAUUGAUAACUAACACCCUGGGCAUAGUGUGUCUCCAACUUAUAGGUCCUGGAGUGGUUGCGAAUUAAGAGACACAAAAGAGGCAAUGAGAUCUCCCUCAAGCGCAGCCUCAGAAGAAUUGGAAAUGCAUAGGAGAGAUUUAUAAAACACAAGGCUGGCCCCCUACUCCAUCCUUAAAACAUCCAUACUUUUAGCCAUGGGUAAGUUGAUUUAACUAUCCCCAUAACCUUUUCUCCUCCCGACCCCCAUCCUUCUCCAGGGACCUACUGGAAGGAAGGAAAUUUGGUAGAUCUAUGUGCUGAGAGAUAAGUGGCCAUGUAAUGAGGUAGGUUAACAACAAUUGUUCCUGUAUAUAUUGUUGGCACACACAAAUGUGUUUGAUUUGGAGUAGGAACUGAUAACUUCUUUGGAUUUGAAUUUCUUCUGUCAGCAAUAGGAGAGAAGUUCAGUCAGAUGAUUUCUAUCUGUGGGAAUCCAACUUUGACUUGUGGUGAUCCUACCCCUUCCUCAGUCUUUUACAAAUUAAGUGGCCUCCUCACCUGAGACGAGUAGAACUGUAUGCACAGUAAGGCACCAGGACGGAUCUAGACUGGCAAAGAAGUGGUGAGAGAAAUGGGGAAAGGGUUAGGGAAGAAGGGAGAGGACUCUCAACUACAGUCAUAGUGAGACCUUGAGUGCCUCUGCGUUAGUCCUUCCUCUUCCUCUACUCCUUGUGUCUCAGCUGAAGGGCAAACUUCAGGGACAAUCUCAUUUUGUUUCUACCACUGUUCAGGGUCCCACCUUGCGACCCUCUCCUGAGAGGUUGUCCACAACUCUGUCCCACCCCCGUUCUCCAUCUUCUUCCGCCAGAUCUGGGGCUGGGGCAUUGGAGAGGGGAAAGAGGAAACGUCGUGGCUGGCAGGGUAGGAAGGGAUGCGUGUCCAGGUGAGAAAGAGGUGUGACGUGCAGAUGGGAUGCCCGCCGCUAUGACGCUGCCGAGACCCGCGGUGACUGCGUCAGAGUUUCACCCGGGGAGGUGAGCAGCAGCGGGACGGGGGAACGGCGGGGUAGCCAAGCAACGCCGGACGCGCUGACGUCGCCGGGGCGGCAAAACGUCCGCCCGGGCCCGAGGCGGGCGGAGGCAGCUGUGGUUACGUGCGGGGGGCCGGUGACGCAGUCGCGGGGCGCUGGGACGCGGCUUGCGGAGCCGGCCGGCGAGCGCAGGCCCCAGGCUCGGGCGCGGCGGCGGGACAGCACCUACCUUCCCGGCUUCGGGUCCGGGAGUGCGGGGCGCGGAGCCGCCGGAGCGCUGCCUCCCUCCUUCCUCCUCCCCUCGCCCCCGCCCCGCGGCGCGACACACAAUACUCGCCGGAAGCGGAAGCCGCGCCGAGGCUCGUGUCAGUGGAAGCUGGGGUGUCGGCGGGCGGCCGCGGCCGGGUCUAGCGGUGCCUGCGGAAGAAGGAGGAGGAGGGCUGGCGAUGAGAAGCAGCAGGGGGAAUCAAGGGCAAGAAGGGACCCAGAGGGGCAGGUGGCUGAGAUGCUGGCGUCCAGGUGACCCGAGGAAUCCUCUGGAGAUACAGGCCCGCGCAUGCGCGUGCUCGAGCGCUGAAGCCCAUUGCCCGCAGGGCGCUGGACUGGCGCCCCGGCCGGCGAGGCUGUCUAGUCCAGGCUCCAGGCCCCGGCUCUGGCCAGGCGCCGCCGCCUCCCGGUGCAGCUGAAAGUCGACGAAGAGGGCGGGGCGGGGGCGGCUUGUGGACUUCCACACUUUUCCUCUCUUCGGGCCAGUCUGGGGAGAGGGUGGCUAGCUGUGGCGGCGGCCAAUUACGUGGCGGACCUGCGGGGCUAAGCUGGCACGUCACUUCCGACUAGUGGAGUUUUUAGCCUUUUAACAUUCAAGGAUUAGGUAAGUUCUCCCCGCGGUAGACUUCAAAUACUCUUUGUCCUGCCCCUGCUUGGCGAAAUUUACCGAAAUUAUCUACCUAUCCCGCUGGAGUGGGAGCCGGGGGAGAGCUGGAACCGCGUCUCUGCUGCUCACCUUUGUGUCCUUAGCUCCUUCGCAUGGGGUCCGACCGCAACACGUGCGCUGGAUAAACGCUUGUUAACUGGAGCUCCCUCUUUGCCCACUAGCAGGGCAUUAGCUGGUGCUGAAGACAGUGGCUGCUUGGCGAGCCUGGAUCUCCAAGUGACCCCCUCAGCAACUCCUGAUGAACAGGACUGAAGCCAAUAUUAAAGCAAGUCAACCAAAGGUUCUCUGGUGUAGACAAGACAGCAAAAGGACAGACUACCUUGUGGAACCUAGCAUUGUUCUCCUUCUGCAGCACUAAGUAACAUUUGUUCUCCGUUAAGAUCUUUGCAAACCACACACAAGAAUUGCUGGUCAUCCUGCCAAUAGAUGCUGCUCACAGAACCAAAUUUCCUGUGCUGAAUUGUCACUCAUGGGCUUGAGAGUAGGAGACUGGAGACCAAGGUGGCUAGAAUCCAGUUGGGCCUGAUGUCUCCCUGUUGAAAGGGCUCCUUGUGGAAUGAAUAGCACAUGGCUCCUGUGGUGGAUCUGAUAGUGGCAUAGCACCAAGUGAUGCAGGCCUGCCAGGGGCCACAGACACAGAAGAUGCUCCCGGGGUCCCCCAUGUACUCCAGACACACUGCAGGCCACCUCUCCCAGCAGGUUGCCAGUCAUGGGCCCCAUCAUCAUGACUUCUGUCCAAGGUGUGCUCGGAAAUCUCUUCCUUAACUGUGACUUUCUGACAGGUGGAGGAUGUGGUCAGGAGUGGGAAAAGGAUUCGAGACGGGAAGAGGGAGGGGUUCAGGAUGAAGAGAGAUAAUCUGUGCCACAGAUGCUGGCCCUGCAGUUAGCUCCCACCUAGUCCGUGCACACACAUUCUAAUCCCCUCCCAUUCCUUUACAUGCUGCGGCCAGAGAGGCCUUUCUCAAAGUGGAAGUCUCAUCCUCACUUCUCUGGUUACAGUGCUGGGCCAUGGUAACUUACAAGGCUUAGCAGGAACUGUCUGCGCACUCCCCCUUCCUGCCCACUACCUUGUUUCCCUCCAGUUGCGAGAGAAAACAUUGAUUGAGCAUUAACUAUGUGCCAGGCUUGUCCUAAGUCCUUUGCAUGUAUUCACUCAAACAAUCCUCACAACAUUCCUAUCACAUCUCCCAUUUCACAGUGAGGGUUCUAAAGCACGUAGUGGGUGAGGAACUUGUCCAGGGUCACACAACUAAGUGGGGGUGGAGAAACAUCAAAUCUAGGUGGUCCAGGUGGUGGCCAGAACCCAUCAGCACCUCACUACAGCUGCCUCCAGUUUCUCGCUCUAGGAAAUACUCUUCCCUGUCAACUCCUGUUGUCCUCUGGGCUCAGUUGACAUGUCAUCUCCUUGAGGAGGACAUCCUGAGAUGCUCCCCGACUAGGGUGGGCACCCACUUCCACACUCCAAAUGCCUAUUUGACCUGUGUAUCGCUGCAUCCCCACUGCCUGGCAGAUAGCAGGCCCCUAAUAAAUAUGAUUUGAGCAAAUAAAUAUAGUUCUUCAAAAAAUAGGGAGGACUUCUUGCUUCAGGUAAUGGUAGGCUAGGACAUUUGGACCAACCCUCCUGCAGAAAAUAGCCAUUUAUUUUGAUGCAAUAUAUCUGGCUAUGACUAGAGAUUUCAAAUAUUUGGAGGGCUAUUAUGUGAAGAACUAAACUUACUCUUUGUGACAUAGAGGUCAGAAAUUGGUCGUUUCCAUAGAGUAUGAGAGAGACAGAAUUGUGCUCAUCAUAAGUAUCUUUUUUAAAAGUUAGACUUAAUAAAAUGGGCUGCCUUGGUAGGUGGUGAGUUCUCUGUCACGAAAGAGAUUCAGCCACUUGCUCUGAGAAAGCAUGGAGAAUAUCAACAUUGUAAGGGUCGACCACCUCAUCUCUGAGGCCCCCUCCUCACUUAGGUUGCCAUUGCAGGUGGAACACUGGGCUGAGUGUCAAAGAACCUGGGUUCCACAAGCUGUGCGACCAUGGCUGGUUGUUUUGGAUCUCAUUCCUAAUAUCUGUUAGUUAAGCUGACCCGUCAAUACUGACCCACUUCACAGAGUUAUGAAGGGAUUAAAUUAGGUAUUACAUGUAAAUCUGUUUUGUUUGCUUUUUGUUGUUCUUUUUUGUUUUGCUUUUUUCUUUGCAUUAUGAAAUCCCAAGUCAACUUUUUCCAUUCUUUUAUUUUUUUAAAAAUUGACAUCAUCAUUAUAACCACAAAAUAAUUUUUAAAAUGGAAAAAAAAAACUCACCUGCAACCCCACAAUCUAAUACAAUAAUCAUACUUUUUUCCCUUUAUUCUCCUUUAUUGUGACCAAGGAUGACUUUGGGCAUUGCUGUGAGGAACUAUUUCGUUUAACACCCUACUACCUGAACAUGAUGCGUACUCAGCCUUUCACCACCCCCCAAGUAGCUACACAUGAUGUGAUAAUAGUAUUGGUGGUGGUUUUAGAGAGUUGGAGAGAAAACUGAAGUUGGAUUUGGGUAAAAGAAAAAAGAGUGGGAAUUAUUUUUUCUCCAUUCUAAAGCCCAUAAAGCAAUGUUAAUUGUUCCCACCCCUCUGCUAUUCUGUCUCCUCAGGUACUGUGUGCAGAAAUGUGAUUGAGAUUCAAGUCAGGGCCUCUCUGCCCUUUUCCCUCCAGAAACAAAACCAAGAUAAUUUAUCCUGAACACGGUGAAAAAAGGAAGGGAGGGAGGAGAAAAAGUCCGGGUCUCACCUGGGAUUCUCUGUCUCCUGCAACAUGAAGGAUUUAGCCUGGGAGGAGGUGGUGAGAACUCUGGGAGAGAAAAAAGAAGGAAAGAAUAGUUUUACCCAUGCUGAAGUUAAUUUAAACCUUCACCUAGAGAAGCAAAAAAAAAAAACCCACACUUUCCCAUUUUGUGCCUCCCUUCCUAGAGUUUUAGCCAAAGGUUUAGCUAAGUAAUUGGUUUUACCAGCGCACUCACUCCUCCUAUCCCAAGUCUGUUUGACUCCCUCCCCAUCAUCCUCCUCACCUCUUUUCAGGCAGGGUGGGGAUAGCAGCAGGAGGAGAUUUUGGGAGCCUGGCAACUCCUGCAAGGACCGCAGGACAGCCCCUCUGUGGGGAUGCGUGGUGCCCCAUCUGCCGCCCUUCUGAAGAAUGCACUGCCUUCACUUUUUACUGUGUUAGAGUCCAUCCAGACUGUUCUAUCCAAAAAAGUUUCUUUUUCCCCCACAGGCAAUCAGGAAAUGAUUCCUUUCCCGACUGCUUCUGUCUAGUGCCUGGGAAUCUUGAGUCAAUCCCUCAGUAAGUCAGUGACUAGGGAAAUCCCUCUCUGAGCCUCCCAGUUCAUGUUGCUUAGGGAACCUGAUAUUUUCGUGAAACCUGCCUACACAUGGGCAGCCCAACAGCAGAACAAAUGGUGGUGACCAAAGUGAACAAAGAAGUAUAGUUGUGCCAGCUUCGUAGUUGCCCAUGUGGACAAGUCAGCAGGAUCAGGACACGAGGAAGAGUAAAUGUGAGACAGUCAAUGUGACUUCUGCGAUAAACAGAUUUUUAAACCCCGAAAUUUUGCAAAAUUUUGGUGAAACCUGAACUUUCUUCGUUGCAUAUACUGGCACUAUCUGUACCAUCAUACAACUGUCUCACAUUAAAGCUAUUUUUCUUGGGCACUGAUGAGUAAGGUUGGUAUAAGUUCCUCAGAUCAACAAAAACCCAUUUUCCUGUAAGUCUUACAUUUAGUAUUUAAGGAACUAAAACUUAAAUACAUUUUGUGAAAUGGUUGACACUUCACUGAUAAUGAUUUAUUGCUUGGAUUAAUAAAUUUUCCAAAAGUUGUCUUAUGUAGAAUAUGGUUUGCAACCAGCAGAACCAUUAAUCUAUACUGCAAUGAUAUGCACUAUGUAUAAUUGUUUAAAAGCCUCUACUUAAUGAUGUAAAAUGCUCUAUUUAAUUACACAUUUGGGUAAACUGUAUACUAACAUCUGAUGGCAUUUUUCCACUGUUUGUUGCUUUUUUCAAAUACUUUAUUGUACAAAGCUGUUCUUAAUAUUUUUCAAGUUUUUUUCUUUGAAUUUUGCUAAUGUUUUCCUUGAAUUAUGAGCACUGACAGAAUGUGCUUAGCACUUUUGGCUAUUCACACAGCUUUUGAGCAUGAUUUGCAUCCAAUAUUUACAUUGCUAGCAAUAAUAAGCCAUCUGUGAGUUUUGUCAAAAGUUAUUGGGGAUUUUUUAAAUUUUAGAAAUGCAAAUUAUUGUUUCUUUGAACUAACUCUUAUGCAGUUGCAAAGGCAUUUCCAGUUGUUAUAGUUUGUGUACAAUAUCAGGUGUUCCAGAUUAUGAUUCAUUAUUAAUAUCAUUGCUUCCUUGUUCCCUCUGAGGUCCAGAAGAUUCAUGUUUACAAUAUUUAGAAACAAUGUUAAAAAGGUAUCCAAAGUUUGUCACUUUAUUAUUAGUUUGUUCUUAAUAUUCUGUUUAAGUUUUUGAAUUCAUAGAUAUCAAAACGCUGCACAAUUAUGAUUUCCACAGGAAUAACAACACACUAACAAUAAGAACCAAAAACAGCAAAUAGGCUGCCUACAAGUUUUGACAAUAUUAGGAUAAUGAUAAUGACAGUUUUUCUAAAUCUCACAGUAAAGAAUGCAGCAACCCAGCAACACUGCUACCUGUGGCCUCAGGCUGCAGUGUCAGCUCUUCCCUGGGUCUCCAGCCUGCCAGUCUAACCUGAAAAUUAUGUACUUGCCAGCCCCCACAGUCACGUGAGUGAACUGGCCCAGGCUGGUCACCAGGGUCAGUUUCUCUGUGUGUCAUUAAUUCAUUCAGUCUUCAGCAGUCUCUUUGGAGCUGAGAUGUACCUACCAUCUGCCUUUUGGGUGCUUAGGGUGGAGAACCAGAAAAGUAUAACCUAGUGUGUAUCCUCAAAGAGCUAACAAUAUGGGGUGGUACCUAUAGGUCUGGAAACACUUUACUGACUCUGUGAGGCAUACCAGGAGACGUCAGAGAACAGUCCCUCCUCAAAUGCCAAAUGAGAUGCAGAAGAAAUAGUUUGCUCAAGUUCAUGGGCCAGAUAUCCCAGUGGUCAGGGAGUUUCAUGAAUGAGAUGGAACUUUGCAUGGAACCCGAGGGAUGUGUAUGAUUUGAGUAGAUGAAGAAAAUGAGACUUUCCAAGCAGCUAGAAGUUAGGGAGCAGCAAGAUGUGUGGUGGGAUUGAGCACAGUUGGUUCAGAGGAUAGACUGCAGUUUUAAUAAUUUGUAGUAAAUAUCUCCCAACUGUUUGGCACUAUUGGAGCAAGUUCUUGAAUGCCAAAUGAAGGCAUAAAUCAGUAAGAGGCAUAAUAAAAGGCUGAGCAGUGCUUGGCUUUUUACGAACUGAUCCUGAUAGGAGCAGCUGUUCAACAAAGUUGCCAGGUCACCGUUACAUAGUCCCUGCCUUCUAGGGGCUCACUGCCUACUGGGAGAGACAGUCUGAAAGUUGGUGGAGCAUGUAACUGUUGGAUGAGGAGUUUGAGCCUGUGGACUGUGGGACCCCCGAGGAGGGUGUGGCUACUCUAGGCAGAACAAUCCCACAGUUUAUUUAUAUUUAACCUUGAAAUUCAUUAGAGGAUUUUUCAGCAGAGGUUUGGUACUUGUUAAUGUUAAGGUUUGCAUUCUCUAGAACCUCAAGGAAAGCUGUACCGUGCAUAAUGUACCCUCUUAUGUUAAUGUUGUGUACUGUGAUCCUGUUUCAGGGACUUGCACUUAGGAAUCUGUUACAGUGAGCACAGAAGCAGACCUGUGGGCUCAUAGUCUUCACCCCCCACCCAUAUAUACAAGAUGAACAGAGUGGAGGUUAAACAACUUGACUAAACAACACAGUUCAUGGUAAAGCCCAAGACUGUACCUGCCCAUCCACUGCCUUUUCCAUGUAUCCUGGAACUGAGCAUAGACCUCUUCCCAGGCAGAGCUGACAGCAAGUAAAGGAGAUCAUAAUCAGGGGACCAAACAACUUUGUCUAAAGUGUGAAUGUCACCUAAGGAGAAGCUGUGAGAUCAGAAGGGUGGGGCAGAGGAGCAGACACCAUGAGGGAGAGUCCUUGGGGGUACAUCUGCCAGACUGACACUGUCUGGCCUGGGCAGUGGAGGGGCUAGCAGGAACCACAGGUACUGGUGGUGUGGCUACUACCGUUACAACUGCCUGUGCUUGGACAUGGACCCUCUGCAAUAUGCGGCAGUUUCAUUCAUUGCCCCCUACAUUCUACACCAAGUAGAAAUGGAAGGCAAUUGGAUACUUCACAGACAAGAUCUAAGUGGAGAAGGAAUGCGUCCUGUGGCUGCAGAGAUCCUUGGAGCUUGGAGGGGAGAGCUUGAGCCCCACUGAUGAUGACCUCCCACAGCUCGCCAACUCAGCCCUCCCUAAGUCCCCAUCGGGGGCCAAUUCUCACUCUGGGGUUGGGGGGACUCCACCAUAGCUCAUCCAUCAUAGGGAUGUUGGUAUCUACUGUGGGUUGGGUAGGGCCGAUGUGCUGAGGAUGGCUCCCCCACAAGCAAGAGAUGUGGAUUUGGGGAGCUUCCCAUCUUGUGUUGAAGGAACAUAACUCAGAAUAAUAAGAGCCAACUAUAACAAACCCACAGCCAACAUCAUACUGAAUGGGCAAAAGCUGCAGGCAUUCCCCUUGAAAAGUGGCACAGGAUAAGGAAGCCCUUUCUCACCACUCCUAUUCAAUAUAGUGUUGAAAGUCCUGAUCACAGCAGUCAGGCAACAGAAAUAAUAAAGGGCAUCCAAAUAGGAAGAGAGGAAGUCAAACUAUCCUUGUUUGCAGACAGUAUGAUUCUAUAUCUAGAAAACCCCAUAGCCUCAGCCCAAAAGGUCCUUCAUCUGAUAAUUUCAGCAAAGUUUCAGGAGACAAAAUCAGUGUACAAAAAUCACUAACAUUCCUAUACACAGUCGCCAAGCCAAGAGCCAAAUCAGGAGCACAAUCCCAUUCAUAAUUGCCACAAAAAAGAAUAAAAUACCCAGGAAUGCAGCUAACCAAGGAAGUAAAGGAUCUCUACAAUGAGAAUCACAAACGCUGCUCAAAGAAAUCAGAGAUGACACAAACAAAUGGAAAAACUUUCCAUGCUCAUGGCUAGGAAGAAUCAAUAUCAUUAAAGUGGCCAUACUACCCAAAGCAAUUUAUAGAUUCAAUGCUAUUCCUAUCAAACUAUCAAUUACAUUUUUCACAGAACUAGAAAAAACUUAAAAUUCAUAUGGAACCAAAAAGCCUGAGUAGUCAAGGCAAUCCUAAACAAAAAGAACAAAGGUGGAGGCAUCACAUUACCUAACUUCAAACUACAGGGCUACCAUGACCAAAACAGCAUGGUACUGGUACAAAAGCAGACACACAGACCAGUGGGACAGAAUAGAGAGCCCAAAAAUAAGGCCACAAACCUACAGCCAUCUGAUCUUCAACAAAGUUGACAAAAACAAGCAAUGGGGAAAGGUCUCCCUAUUCAAUAAAUGGUGCUGGGAUAACUGGCUGGCCAUAUGCAGAAGAUCGUAACUGGACCCCUUUUACUAUGUACAAAAAUUAAGAUGGUUUAAAGAGUUAAAACCCAAAAUUAUAAAAAUCCUGAAGAUAACUUAGGCAAUACCAUUCUGGACAUAGGAACUGGCAAAUAUUUCAUGAUGAAGACACCAAAAGCAAUUGUAACAAAAGCAAAAAUGGACAAAUUGGAUUUAAGAGCUUUUUCAUAGCAAAAUAAACAACAGGGCAGACAAUCUACCAAAUGACAGAAAAUUUUUGCAAACUAUGCAUCUGACAAGGGGCUAAUAUCUAGCAUCUAUAAGGAAUUUAAACACAGUUACAGGAAAAAAAAAACCCACUCCAUUAAAAAAUGGGCAAAGGACAUGAACAGACACUUUUCAAAAAAGACAUACAUACAGCCAACUAGCGUGUUAAAGAAAACCUCAAUUAUCACUGAUCAUUAGAGAAAUGCAAAAUCAAAACCAUGAUGAGAUAUCAUCUGCCAGUCAGGAUGGCUACAAAAAAGUAAAAAAAUAAUAGAUGUUGGUGAGGUUAUGGAGAAAAGGAACUUAUACACUUGUUAGGAGUGUAAAUUAGUUCAAUCACUGUGGACAGCAGUGUGGUGAUUCCUCAGAGAGCUAAAAACAACUACCAUUUGACUCACCAAUCCCAUUACUGGAUAUUUACCUAAAGGAAUAUAAAUCAUUCCACCAUAAAGACACAUGCAAGUGUAUGUUCAUUGCAGCACUAUUAACAGUAACAAAGCUGGGCACAGUGGCUCACCUCACGACUGUAAUCCCAGCACUUUGGGAGGCUGAGGUAGGCGGAUCACCUGAGGUCGGCAGUUUGAGACCAGCCUGACCAACAUGGAGAGACCCCAUCUCUACUAAAAAUACAAAAUUAGCCAGGUGUGGUGGCUCAUGCCUGUAAUCCCAGCUACUUGGGAGGCCAAGGCAGGAGAAUUGCUUGAACCCAGGAGGCAGAGGUUGCAGUGAGCCGAGAUCACACCAUUGCACUCUAGCCUGGUGAAGGAGCAAGACUCCAUCUCAAAAAAAAAAAAAAAAAAGAAAGAAAGAAAAAUACACAUUCAGAGGAGACAAAAAAUAAAAAACAAUGAUGCAUGCCCACAGGAUCUAGAAAAUAACUUCUUAAGGGCAAAUCUAGGAGUUAUUGGCCUUAAAGAAGAGAUAGAGAAAGAGAUAGGAAUAGAAAGUUUGUUGAAAGGGAUAAUAACAUAGAACUUCCUAAACCUACAGAAAGAUAUUUAUAUCCAAGUACAAGAAGGUUAUAGAACACCAGGCCAAUUUAACCCAAAGAUUACCUCAAGGCAUUUAAUAAUCAAACUCCCACAGGACAAGGGUAAAGAAAGGAUCCUAAAAGCAGCAAGAGAAAAGAAACAGAUAACAUACAAUGGAGCUCCAAUACAUCUGGCAGUAUAUUUUUCAGUGGAAACCUUACAAGCCAGGAGAGAGUGACAUGACAUAUGUUAAAGUGCUGAAGGGAAAAAACCUUUUACCCUAGAAUAGUAUAUCCAGCAAAAAUAUCCUUCAAACAUGAAGAAUAAACAAAGACUUCCCCAGACAAACAAAAGCUGAGGGAUUUCAUCAACACUAGACUGGUCCCAUAAGAAACGCUUAAGGGAGUACUUUGGUCAGAAAGAAACAGACAUUAAUGAGCAACAAAGAAUCAUCUAAAGGUAAAAAACUCACUGUUAAGAGUAAGUACACAGAAAAACCCAAAGUGUGAUAACAUUGUAACUGUGGUGUGUAAGUAGAAAGAAUAAAUGAUAAACCAAUCAAAAAUAGUAACUACAACUUUUCAAGACCAGUCAGAAAAAUAAGAUAAAAUUAGAAACAACAAAAAGUUAAAAAGUGGGGGGAUGAAGUUAAGAUGUAGAGUUUUUAUUAGUUUUUUGUUUGUUAAUGCAAACAGUGUUACCAGGUUAAAAUAAUGGGUUACAAAAUAGUAUUUGUAAUCCUUAUGGUAACCUCAAACCUAAAAACAUACACUGGAUACAUAAAAAAUAAAAAGCAAAAACCUAAAUCAUAUCACCAGAGCAAACUACCUUCCCUAAAGGAAGACAGGAAGAAAAGAAAGAAGAAGACCACAAAACAACCAGAAAACAAAUAAAUAACAAGGCAGGAGUAAGUCUUUACUUAUCGAUAAUACAUUGAAUGGAAAUAUGGACUAAACUCUCCAAUCAAAAGACAUAGACUGGCUGAAUGAAUGGAGAAAACAAGACCCAUUGAUCUGUUGCCUACAAGAAACACACUUAAACUAUAAAGACACACAUAGGCUGAAAGUAAAGAGUUGGAAAGAGUUAUUCCAUGCCAAUGGAAACCAGGAAAAAGAGAAGGAGUAUUGAUUUUGAUACAAAAACUAUGAGACAAAUAAAGUCACUAUACAAUGAUAAAGGGGUUAAUAUGGUUUCCAUUUGUGCCCCACCCAAAUUUCGUGUUCUAUUGUAAUCCUCAAUGUUGGAGGUGGGGCCUGGUGGGACGUGAUUAGAUCAUGGGGGUGGAUCUUUCAUGACUAAUUCAGCACCAUCUUCUUAGUGCUGUUCUCAUGAUAGUGAGUUCUUCUGAAAUCUGGUUGCUUAAAAGUGUGUAGCACCUCUCCACACCACCCGCUUGCCUUGGUCUACUCCUGCUAUGUAGAUGCUUGCUCCCACUUUGCAUUAUUCCAUGAGUAAAAGCUCCCUCAGGCCUUCCCAGAAUCAGAUGCCGCUAUGCUUCCUGAACAGCCUGUGGAACUAUGAGCCAAUUCAACCUCUUUUCUUCAUAAAUUAACAAGUCUUGGGUAUUUCUUUAUAGCAGUGUGAGAACAGAAUAAUACAGAAAAUUGGUAAAGAGGAGUGAGGCAUUGCUAGAAAGAUACCUGAAAAUGUGGAAACAGCAGUGGAACUGGGAAAUAGACAGAGGUUGGAAGAGUGUGGAGGGCUCCGAAGAUAGGAAGAUGAGGGGAAGUUUGGAAUUUCUUAGAGAUUUGUUAAAUUGUUUUGACCAAAAUACUGAUGGUGAUAUGGACAAUGAAGUCCAGGCUGAGGAGGUCUCAGAUGGAGAUGAGGGACUUAUUGGGACCUGGAGUGAAGGUCACUUUUGUUAGGACAUUGUGGUUGGAGACAUUGUGCCCCUGCCCUAGGAAUCUGUGGAACUUUGAACUUGAGAGCGAAGAUUUAGGGUAUCUGGCAGAAGAAAUUUCUAAGCAGCAAAGCGUUCAAGACGUGGCCUGGCUGCUUCUGGUAGUCUGUGCUCAUAUUUGUGAGCAAAGACAUGACAAGAAACUGGAACUUAUAUUUAAAAAGGAAGCAGAGUGUAAAAGUUUGGAGAAUUUGCAGCCUGGCCAUGUUGUAGAAAAGAAAAAAACCAUUUUCUGGAGAGGAAUUCAAGCUAGCUGCAGAAAAUUGCAAGUAACAAGGAGCAAAAUGUUGAUAGCCAAGAUAGUGGGAAAAACACCUUGAAGGCAUUUCAGAUACCUUGGGGGCAGCCUCUCCCAUCACAGGCCCAAAGGCCUAGGAGGGAAGGAUGGUUUCCUGGGCCAGGCUCAGGGUCCUGCUGCCCUGCACAACCUCAGGAAACUGCUCUCCAAAUCCCAGCUGCUCCAGCUCCAGCUUCAGCUCAAAGGGCCCCAGGUAUAGCUCAGGCUGCUGCUCCAUAGGAUGCAAGUUAUAAGCCUUAGUGGCUCCCGUGUGGUGUUAAAUUAAGCCUGUAGGUGCACAGAGUGCAAGAAUUGAGGCUUGGGAGCCUCCAACUAGAUUUCAGAGUAUGUGUGGGAAAGCCUGGAUGUCCAGGCAGAAGCCAGCUGCAGGGACAGAGCCCUCAUGGAGAACCUCUACUAGGGUAGUGUGGAGGGGAAAUUUGGGGUUGGAGUUCCCACACAGCUUCCCCUCUGGUGUACUGCCUAGUGGAGCUGUGAGAAGACAGCCACUGUCCUCCAGAUUCCAGGAUGAUAGAUCUGCCAAUGACAGCUUGCACUGUACAACUGGAAAAGCCACAGGCAGUCAAUGCCAGCCCGUGAAAGCAGUGACAGUGGCUUACCCUGCAAAGUCCCAGGGGCUGAGCUGCCCAAGGCCUUGGGAGCCCACCCCUUGCACCAGUGUGCCCUGGAUGUGAGAUAUGGAGUCAAAGGAGAGUAUUUUGGAGCUUUAAGAUUUAAUGACUACCUGCUGGGUUUCAGACUUGCAUGGGUCCAGUAGCCCCUUUCUUUUGGCCAAUUUCUCACUUUUGGAAUGGGAGUGUUUACCCAAUUCCUGUACCCCCACUGUAUGUUGGAAGUAACUAACUGUUUUUUUAUUUUGUAAGCUCACAGGUGGGAGAGACUUGCCUUGUCUCAGGUUGAGACUCUGGACUUUGGACUUUUGAAUUAAUGCUGGAAUGAGUUAAGACUUUGAGGGACUGUUGGGAAGAUAUAACUGUAUUUUGCAGUAUGAGAAGGACAUGAGAUUUGGGAGACACCAGAGGUGGAAUAAUAUGAUUUGGAUCUGCAUCCCCACCAAAAUCUCAUGUUCAAUUGUAAUCCUAAAUUUUGGAGGUUGAGCCUGGUGGAAGAGGAUUGGAUAAUGGGGGUGGUUUCUCAUGGUUUAACACCAUCCCCCUGGGUGCUGUUCUCAUGACAGUGAGUGAGUUAUUGUGAGAUCUGAUUGUUUAAAAGUGUGUGCCACCUCCUCCCACUUUCCUCCUGCUCCAGCCAUGUAAGACAGGCUUGCCUCCCCUUCACCUUUUGUCAUGAUUGUAAGUGUUCUGAGGCCUCCCCAGCCAUGCUUCCUGUACAGCCUGCAGAACUGUGAGCCAAUUAAACCUCUUUUCUCUAUAUAUUACCCAGUCUCGGGUAUUUCUUUAUAGCAGUGCAAGAAUAGACUAAUACAGGGUUCAAUUCAGCAAGAGGAUAUAACAAAUAUAAAUAUAUAUGCACUCAACACUGCAGCACCCAGAUAUAUAAAGCAAAUACGAUUAGAGCUAAAGAGAGAGAGUGACCCCAAUACAAUAAUAGCUGGAGACUUCAACACCACAUUUUCAGCACUGGACAGAUCUUCCAGACAGAAAAUAAAAAAGAAACAUCAGACUUAAUCUGCACUGUAGAUCAAAUGGAUCUAAUACAUACUUGCAGAACAUUUUAUCCAAUGGCUGCAGAAUACACAUUCUUUUUUAGCACAUGUAUCAUUCUCAAGGAUAGACCAUAUGUUAGGUCACAAGUCUUAAAACAUUAAAAAAGUUGAAUACCAUCAAGCAUCUUCUCUGACCACAGUGGAAUACAACUAGAAACUAAUAACAAGAGGAAUUUUUGAAACUACAAAUACAUGAAAAUUAAACAAUAUGCUCCUGAAUGACCAUUGAGUCAAUGAAGAAAUUAAGAAGGAAAUUGAACAAUUUCUUGAAACAAAUGAUAAAGGAAACACAACAUACCAAAACCUAUGGGAUACGGCAAAAGCAGUACUAAGAGGCAAAUUGAUAGCUAUAAGUGCCUACAUGAAAAAAGAGGAAAAACUUCAAAUAAGCAAUUUAACAAUGAACCUUAACCAGAAAAGCAAGAGCAAAACAAACACAAAAUUAGAAGAAAACAAAUAAUAAAAAUUAGAGCAUAAAUAAAUAAAAUUGAAAUAAAAAUCAAUGCAAAAGAACAAUGAAACAAAAAGUUGCUUUUUUUCAAAAGUUAAACAAAACUGACAAGCCUUUAGCAAGACUGAGAAAAAAGAGACAAGAUACAAAUCAGAAAUGAAAAAGACAUUACAACUGACACUGCAGAAAUUCAAAGGAUCAUUAGGGGCUACUAUGAGCAACUCUAUGCCAAUAAAUUGGAAAAUCUAGAAGAAAUUGACAAUUCCUAGACACAUACAACCUACUGAGACUGGACCAGGAAGAAAUCCAAAACCUGAACAGACUAAUAACAAGUAACAAGGUUGAAGCCAUAAUAAAAAGUCUCCCACUAAAGAAAACCAAGGACCCGAUGGCUUCACUGUUGAAUUCUACCAAACAUUUAAAGAAGAACUAAUACCAAUCCCACUCAAGCUAUUGAAAAAUAGAGGAGGAGAGAAUAUUUCCAAAGUCAUUCUAGGAGACCAGUAUCACCCUGAUACCAAAACCAGACAAAGACACAUCAAAAAAAGAAAACUGCUGGCCAAUUUCUCUGAUGAAUAUUGAUGCCAGAAUCCUCAGCAAAAUAUUAGCAAACUAAAUUCAACAAUACAUUAAAAAGAUCAUUCAUCAGGGUCGGGUGCAGUGGCUUAAGCCUCUAAUCCCAGCACUUUGGGAGGCCGAGGUGGGCAGAUCACCUGAGGUCAGGAGUUCAAGACCAGCCUGACCAACAUGGUGAAACCUCGUCUCUACUGAAAAUACAAAAUUAGCCGAGUGUGGUGGUGCAUGCCUGUAAUCCCAGCUACUCAGGAGACUGAGGCAGGAGAAUCACUUGAACCCAGGAGGUGGAGGUUGCAGUGAGCUGAGAUUGUGGCACUGCACUCCAGCCUUGGUGACAGAGUGAGACUCCAUUAAAAAAAAAAUCAUUUAUCAUGACCAAGUGGGAUUUAUCCCUGGAAUGCAAGGAUGGUUCAACACAUGCAAAUCAAUCAAUGUAAUACAUCAUAUCAAAAAGAAUGAUUAAAACCAUAUGAUUAUUUCUAUUGAUGCUGAAAAAGUAGUUUAUAAAAUCCAACAUCCCUUCAUGAUAAAAACCCUCAAAAAACUGUAUAAAAGAAAUAUACCUCAACGUAAUAGCCAGAUAUGACAGACCCACAGCUAGUAUCAUACUGAAUGGGGAAAAAGUGAAAGACUUUCCUAUAAGAUCUGGAACACAACAGGGAUGUUCACUGUCACCACUGUUAUUCAACAAAGUACUGGAUGUUCUAGCUAGAGCGAUCAGACAAGAGAAGAUAUAAAGGCCAUCCAAACUGGAAAGGGAGAAGUUAAAUUACCCUAGUUUGCAGAUGAUAUGAACUUAUAUUUGGAAAAAACCUAAAGGCUCCACAGGAAAACUAUUAGAAUCAAUAAAUUCAGUAAAGUUGCAGGACACAAAAUCAACAUAUAAAAACCAGUAGCAUUUCUAUAUGUCAACAGUGAACAAUUUGAAAAAUUUUAAAUUUAAGAAGGUAAUUUCAUUUACAAUAGCCACACAUAAAAUUAAAUACCUAGGAAUUAACCAAAAAUGUGCAAGAUAUCUAUGAGGAGAAUUAUAAAACAUUGAUGAAAGAAAUUGAAGAGGACACAAAAAAAAUGGAAAAAAUUCCAUCUUUAUGGAUUGGAAGAAUCAAUAUUGUUAAAAUGUCCAUACUACCCAAAGCAAUCUACAGAUUUAAUGCAAUCCCUAUCAAAAUACCAAUAAUAGUCUUCAGAGAAAUAGAAAAAAAAAUCCCAAAAUUUAUAUGAAAACACAGAAUGCCCAGAAUAGCCAAAAUUAUAUUAAGCAAAAAGAUCAAAACUGGAGGAAUCACAUUACCUGACUUCAAAUUAUGCUACAGAGCUAUAAUCACCAAAACAGCAUGGUACUGACAUAAAAACAGACACAUAGUCCAACAGAACAGAAUAGAGAACCUAGAAACAAAUCCACACACUCACAGGGAACUCAUUUUUGACAGAGUUGCCAAGUACUUAUACUGGAGAAAAGAAAAGACAGUCUCUUCAAUGAAAUGGUGCUGGGAAAACUGGAUAUCCAUAUGCAGAAGAAUGAAACUAGACCCCUACCUCUCACUGUAGACAAAAGUCAAAUCAAGGCUAGGCAUGGUGGCUUACACCUGUAAUCUCAGCACUUUGGGAGGCUGAGGCAGGCGUAUCACGAGGUGAAGAGAUUGAGACCAUCCUGACCAACAUGGUGAAACUCACCCCCCCCCACCCACUAAAAAUACAAAAAUUAGCUGGGCGUGAUGGCAUGUGCCUGCAGUCCUAGCUACUCAGGAGGCUGGGGCAGGAGAAUCGCUUGAACCCAGGAGGUGGAGGUUGCAGUGAGCUGAGAUUGUGCCACUGCACUCCAGCCUGGCGACAGAGCAAGACUCCAUCUCAAAAAAUAAAAAAUAAAUUCAAAAUGUAAUAAAGACUUAAAUCUAAGACCUCAAACAUGAAACUACUAUAAGAAAACAUUGGGGAAAACCUCCAGGACAGUAGUCUGGCCAAAAAUUUCUUGAGCAAUACCCCACAAGCACAGGCAACCAAAAUAAAACUGGACAAAUAGUAUCACAUCAAGUUUAAAAGCUUCUACAAAGCAAAGGAUACAAUCAAUAAAGAGACAACCCACAGAAUGGGAGAAAAUAUUUGCAAACUACCCAUCUGACAAAGAAAUAAUAACCAGAGUAUAUAAGAAGCUCAAACAACUCUAUAGUAAAAAAAAAAAAAAAAAAAAUUCUAAAAGUCUAAGUAAAAAAAUGGGCAAAAGAUUUGAAUAGACAUUUCUCAAAAGAAGACAUACAGGCCAUGCGUGGUGGCUCAUGCCUGUAAUCCCAGCACUUUGGGAGGCCCAGGCGGGUGGAUCACUUGAGGUCAGGAGUUCGAGACCAGCCUGACCAACAUUGUGAAACUCCGUCUCUACUAAAAAUACAAAAAUAAGCCAGGCAUGGUGGCGCACACCUGUAAUCCCAGCUACUCAGGAGGCUGAGGCAGGAGAAUCGCUUAAACCUGGGAGACAGAGGUUGCAGUAAGCCGAGAUCACACCACUGCACUCCAGCCUGGGCAACAAAGUGAGACUCCGUCUCACAAAAAAAAAAAAAAAAAAAAAAAAAAAAGAAAAGAAAAAGGAAGAAGACAUACAAAGCCAGGUACAGUGGCUUAUGCCUCUAAUCCUAGCACUUUAGGAGGCCAAGGCAGAUGGAAUUGAGCCCAGAAGUUUGAGACCAGACUGAGCAAUAUGGUCAAACCCCAAUUCUGCAAAAUACAAAAAUAAAAAAUAGCUGGGAGUGGUGGUGCACACCUGUAGUCCCAGCUACUUAGGAAGCUGAGAUGGGAGGAUCACUUGAGCCUGCAGUGAAUCAUAAUUGCACCAAUGCACUCCAGCCUGGGCGACAGAGUGAGAGACAUUGUCUCAAAAAAAAGAAAAAGAAAAAAAAGAAAGGACAUAAAAAUGACAAACAGGCAUAUGAAAAGGUGCUGAUGAUUAUUGAUCCUCAGAGAAAUGCAAAUCAAAACUGCAAUGAGAUAUAAUCUCACCCCAGUUAAAAUGGCUUAUAUCCAAAAGACAGGCAAUAACAAAUGCUGGUGAGGAUGUGGAUAAAAGGGAACCCUCGUACACUGUUGAUGGGAAUGUAAAUUAGUACAACCACUAUGGAUAACAGUUUAGAGGUUCCUCAGAAAACUAAAAAUUGAGUUGCGAUAUGAUGCAACAAUCCUACUGCUGGGUAUAUACCCCACAAAAGACAAAACCAGCGUUUUGCAUGGUGGCUCACACCUGUAAUCCCAGCACUAUGGGAGGCCGAGGAGGGCAGAUCACUUGAGCCCAGAAGUUCAAGACCAGCCCGAGCAACAUGGCAAAACCUGAUUUCUACAAAAUACAAAAAAAAAAUUAGGCAGUUGUAGUGGUUCACACCUAUAGUCCUAGCUACUGUGGAGGCUGAGGUAGGAUCACUUGAACCUAGGAGGUGGAGGUUGCAGUGAGCCAAGAUCAUGCCACUGCACUCCAGCCUGGGUGACAAAGUGUGACCCUGUCUCAAAAAAGAAAAUCAGUAUAUGGAAGAGGUAUCUGCACUCCUAUGUUUUUUACAACACUGUUUACAAUAGCUAAGAUUUGGAAGCAACCUAAAUGUCUAACAGCAGAUGAAUGGAUAAGGAAAAUUUGGUAUGUAUACACAAUGAAGUACUAUUCAGCCAUAAAAAGGAAUGAGAUCCAGUCAUUUGCAACAGCAUGGAUGGAAGUGGAGAUCAUUAUGUUAAAUGAAAUAAGCCAGGCACAGAAAGGCAAACAUGGCAUGUUCUCACUUAUUUGUGGGACCUAAAUUCAAAACAAUUGAACUAAUGGACAUAAAGAGUAGAAGAAUGGUUACCAGAGGCUAGGAAUGGUAGUGGGGGGCUGAAGGGAAGGUGGGGAUGUUUAAUCGGUAAAAAAAAAUUUAGAAGAAUAAGACCUACUAUUUGAUAGCACAAUAGGGGGACUAUAGUCAAUAAUGCACAUUUAAAAAUAGUGUAAUUGAAUGGUUUGUAACUCAAAGGAUAAAUGCUUGAGGGAAUGGAUACCCCAUUCUCCAUGAUGUGCUUAUUUCACAUUGCAUACCUGUAUCAAAACAUCUCAUGUACCCCAUAAAUAUAUGCAGCUAUUAUGUACCCAC